Molecule: ribosomal RNA, 192 nt
Filed under: uncultured bacterium
Lineage: Bacteria
Description: partial 16S ribosomal RNA
Rfam family: Bacterial small subunit ribosomal RNA
Source: RNAcentral
ACGCUCGACACCUACGUGAGGCAGCAGUGGGGAAUAUUGCACAAUGGGGGAAACCCUGAUGCAGCGACGCCGCGUGAAGGAAGAAGUAUCUCGGUAUGUAAACUUCUAUCAGCAGGGAAGAAAGUGACGGUACCUGACUAAGAAGCCCCGGCUAACUACGUGCCAGNCGCGAGUAUCNGCGGCGUGNGAGAG